GCGGAGGAAAAGAAACCAACAGGGAUUGCCCCAGUAACGGCGAGUGAAGCGGCAACAGCUCAAAUUUGAAAUCUGGUCCCCCCGCGGGGCCCGAGUUGUAAUUUGAAGAGGAUGCUUCUGAACAAAGUGCCGUCCGAGUUCCCUGGAACGGGACGCCGCAGAGGGUGAGAGCCCCGUACGGUCGGACGCCGAGCCUCUGUGAAGCUCCUUCGACGAGUCGAGUAGUUUGGGAAUGCUGCUCAAAAUGGGAGGUAAACCCCUUCUAAAGCUAAAUACCGGCCAGAGACCGAUAGCGCACAAGUAGAGUGAUCGAAAGAUGAAAAGCACUUUGAAAAGAGAGUUAAAAAGCACGUGAAAUUGUUGAAAGGGAAGCGCUUGCGACCAGACUCGCGCCCGUCGGAUCAGCCGUCGCUCGUCGGCGGCGCACUCCGGCGGGCUCGGGCCAGCAUCAGUUCGCCUCGGGGGGAGAAAGGCGGCGGGAAUGUGGCUCUACGGAGUGUUAUAGCCCGCCGCGUAAUAC
This 520-nucleotide ribosomal RNA is filed under the name Microascus cinereus. Its description in RNAcentral is "eukaryotic LSU rRNA". It matches the Rfam family "Eukaryotic large subunit ribosomal RNA", at positions 50 to 573 of the family's 3401-position model. Lineage: Eukaryota; Fungi; Ascomycota; Sordariomycetes; Microascales; Microascaceae. The record is from RNAcentral.